CCCAGGAGGAAACCACAACACUAUUUACUUAGCAGCCUUCAAAGCUGGCCUUUCCCUUCCCUGCCAAGCUGCCUGAGCCUUUUCCAGGACCAGCAGCAGUGAGUGAGCAGAAGCAGGCCCUUGCCAGCUGUCCUUGUAGGUGAGGAGACUGACUGCCCAGCUAUACUCAGGAAAGCACGCCUACCCUGGAGCAUGUUUGUGUGUGGCCUUAGAAGAUGGGAACACACUGGACGAGAGACAGAAAUGCCUUGGGAAGAAAUGACAUGGUUCCGAUGACUCAGAUGACCCAGAUAACGGCUUUCAUUGGACGUGGGAAGACUCAAGCACACACCCUUAGCAUCACUAAGGAUCAGAAGGGUUUUUUCCUGUCAGGAUACCCAUGAACCACUUGCCUGCAGUGCCGUGGAGGUGAAGAGAGCCUCUGAUCCCCUGGGACCUAACCCUCCAUGUGGGCGCUGGGAACCUAAGGCUAUUCCUCUGGAAGAGCAGCCAGUGCCCUUAACUGCAGUCUUCCCUCCAGCCCUCAAGCUCAUUGUCGACUACAUUAAGACCUUGUCACCCAUAAAGCCUGGGGGUUGGGCUUGAAGCAGCGCAGCAGAACAGCAGCACACUGCUCCAGAAGACGAGACUGCCAGAGGUGGGUGAGUAGCAGCUGCCAGGGGAACUGGACACGUCGCAGGCACAUCUUUGAUAUUCCACAGUGCCAGCACUGGGCUCUCCCUCGAGCCUUCCCUCGGGGUUGUGGUCAGAAUUCUGAGUCAGUAGCCUUGGGUCUGAUCUGUGAUGACAUUUCUGCCCUUCUUGGGAAUGCGGGACUAGAAAACGUCAUGCUGGAACACCCACGAGGACAGGUGAGCGGUCUCGGGGGCAAGUGUGCCCUGAGCACAGCCAGGACUCGGGAUAGGAGCCCAUCAAGGAAGUCCCAUCAACCUCACAUCACUGCCUACAGAGAGACUUUUGGCAAAGUUCAGAAAUGAUGGUGACAAAGACAAGGAGCUGUUAGCCACGCUCCGCUCCCUUGUCCCAACGGAUAAGGGAAACAACUCUACUUUCUAGCAGCUGUGACAAAGCAUCUGGCAGGAAGUAACUUAAGGGAGAAGGGUCAGUUUAAGAAGGGUCAAGGGGCCUACUAGAAGGCUUAAUGGGUAAAGGUGCUUGCUGCUAAGCCUAAUGACUUGAGUUCAAUCCUUGGGAUCCACAUGGUAUAAGGAGAGAACCCUCCUCCCCAUCUCCACAAGUUGUCUUCUGACCUCUACAUAUGCACAGGGACAUGUAUGCACCCUUCCAUAAACAAACAAACAAACAAAUAAAUACAUACAUAAAUAUGAGUUUUAAAAUUUUAAAAACAAGGGCUGGAGAGAUGGCUCAGUGGUUAAUAUGGCUGCUCUUCGGAGAUAGGGGUGGGGAGCUGAGUUCAAUUCCCAGCAAUCACACGAUGGCUCACAACUGUCUAUAAUGGGAUCUGAUGCCCUCUUCUAGUGUGUCUGAAGAUAGCGACAGCUUACUCACAGACAUAAAAUAAAUCUUUGGGUUUUUUUGGUUUUUUGUUUUUGUUUUUUUGUUUUUGUUUUUUUGAGACAGGGUUUCUCUGUGUAGCCCUGGCUGUCUUGGAACUCACUCUGUAGACCAGACUGGCCUCGAACUCAGAAAUCCCCUGCCUCUGCCUCCUUGACAAAAGAAAGGCCCAUCAUGUCUGCUAAGAGAUGCAGCAGGAGGGGCAGCUGGCCGCAUUUCAUCUGCCUGAGGGAGCAGGGAGGGACGCUGGUCCUCAGCUUGCUCUCUCCUGUUUCUUCAGCCUGGGACCAGCCCACGGGAUCAUGCUGCCACAUUUAAGGUGGUCCCUCCGGGCUCAGUG
Molecule: long non-coding RNA, 1855 nt
Organism: Apodemus sylvaticus (European woodmouse)
Lineage: Eukaryota; Metazoa; Chordata; Mammalia; Rodentia; Muridae
Exons: 5
Source: RefSeq, a predicted model, not a curated record